Limulus polyphemus (Atlantic horseshoe crab) is the source of this 1505-nucleotide long non-coding RNA. RefSeq lists it as uncharacterized. Lineage: Eukaryota; Metazoa; Arthropoda; Merostomata; Xiphosura; Limulidae. The record is from RefSeq and is a predicted model, not a curated record. The transcript is spliced from 2 exons.
AGUUGAAGAUCCUAGAAUGCCAGCAAAACUUACAUAAGGAGGAGAGUAGGCCAGCAUCCCACAGCCUUUCCAAACCUUGCAAGUCUAGUAAGAUUUGCAGCAUACUGUGAUGUCUGUUGCAGCAUCAUUGUGGGUUUUGAUUACCCACUUCCAUCCAUAAUAGCUGAUAAAAUGUCUUGCUGUAGUGUUAGUUUCUCAUUUCAAAAAGACAAGUACUGGAUCUCAAAAUCCCUCAGUUUGUUGAGGUUACCUUCUAGUUUAGUCAUCAACUCCCUCAUGAAUGUACAUAAUGAAUAUAGUUUUGUGAUUGAUGUAGAACUUUGUAUUGUGCUCUGAACAUACAUUAUCGUACUGUGUAAAGAUUUGUGUUCUAAUGUGCAAGCCUUUAUUGUGCUCUGAAUAUACACAAUGCCAGUGUGUGUAUGUUUUGUGACUAAUGUAGAACUCCUAAUUCUGCUCAGAGUUAGUGUGCUUACUAGCAGUUCUAUCUUUUUAGUACCCAUUAUCUUUCUGUCUUGUAAUUGUCUGUUUCAUAUGACAAAAACAACUGUCAGUUAUGACAGCUAAAGUUUGUCUUCAGAUGGCUCUGAGUGCUUGUGAUAUUCCCAAUUUUUUUUCCAUUUCAUCAUGUGUUAUACAAAAGUGAUGUCGAUGAAUCUCUAGUUGUUUAAUUAUUUAGGUUAAAUUAAUUUUAUUGGUACAUCUUGUCUAUACAUUUGUAUAUUGUGAUUUAUUCAUAUAUUUGAAUAUUAAACCUAACAUUGCACUUGAAUAUCAUUGCAUGUCCCUAAUUUAUGUGGAUAUCAUAAUUUGAAUAUUAUCAUAUGACUGGCAUUCCACUUGAAUAUUACCAUAUGUUAAUAAACUUUGAAACCACAGUAUGACCUUGAUUUUAUUGGACAUUGUCAUGUGUCCUUACCUUUAAUGUAACAUUGUAUUGGAUGUUAUUUUAUAUCCUUACAUGUAACUUUGAUAUCGUUAUCACAUGACUUUACAUUUUAUUGGACAUUGUCAUAUGUUCUUACCUUCAACUUACAUUUUAUUGGAUACUACCUACGACCCUCAAAGCAUUUGCUGUAGUUUUCAUGCCCUUCAUUUGAAAUUUCCUUAUUCUAUCAUUUUAACACACACCAUUUAAGCUAUGCUUUCUUGCAGGCAUUAUAUAUUAGUUCAAUAAAUCCUUGUCUAUUAAUUGGUUGUAAUUUUACGUUCAAAGCAUUUCUCUGAAAUUAACUUUUGGGGACUAGCUUCAAAUAUUUUAGUGAAACAAAAGAGCAUUAUAAGGCCCAGCUUAUUUGUAGGUUUGCCACGUUAUUUGGUUAGACUAACUGUAAUGUACUAAUUAACUUAAGCAAGUGAUGUAAUGAUGCAGCUCUUUAUUUACAUUGUUAAGUAGACUGGUUAAAGCAAGGAGGUUCAUGUUUACAAAACUAAAUACAUGUUAAAGACAAAGAGUAACUUAAUGAUGUAACCCCAAGUUUACAUAGUUAAGUAGACUGUAAAUU